Molecule: long non-coding RNA, 1190 nt
Filed under: Elaeis guineensis (African oil palm)
Lineage: Eukaryota; Viridiplantae; Streptophyta; Magnoliopsida; Arecales; Arecaceae
Description: long non-coding RNA (EGUI_LNC013477)
Source: RNAcentral
GAUCAUUCGUACACCGCCAUGUAUACGCACACUCGCACAUGAUUUGAUGAGACGACGUAUUUUUCUUUCAUCAUCCAAAUGGAGUUCGGAGAGGUCUUCUCCUAAGGCACGAGACCGCUCUCUCCUCCUCUCCCUCCGCGUCGUCUCCUCGCCGCCUGCCGGAAUUCCUCUCACUCCCCGAUCUCGGCGCUUCAUCCGCCGGAUAUACCUCUCGUUUUUUCUCCGCCUGCCAUGGCUUCUUGUCUUCUAAGCCUCUUUCAAACCAGAAGAUCGAGGAGUCUCAGCUUGCUACUAAGAAGGAGGAGGAUAAUGAGGAGGUGGUUCUUCCUAUCUUCUUCGAAACAGUUUGUUCCUUUUUGUUGUCCGAUUUUUUAGUAACAAGGGGGGAUUUCAGAGAUUUGGGAUGGGGUCAAAGCGUUGUAUGAAUGCUGGGUGUCGGCGAUGGAGCCGGUCGGCGAGGGGGAGUGAAGGGAUGGGGGUUGAAAUCGGGUGGAUUCACCAAUCUCUGCGACAACUUUGAGUAUGUAUGUGUGUAUGUAUAUUUAUAUAUCUUUUUCUUGGAUCCUUUGUGUUUAAUUUGUGCGCCUUGCUUGAUUGUAAUACUUUCUCUUUGUUUGUGUGAUUAUAGGCUUCGUCCUGAUGCUGUGAAGGUGUUCCUUUUGGCAGUGGAAUUCGGUUAUUAUCGGUUUUUGCUCUGUUUUUAAGGAGAUCAUGGAUUUGGUUUCUAAUUUGUAUGAGUUCUUGCUUCUGUGAUUCUCCUGCUUCUGAACUUAACUCUUAUUUUGAGGUUCUUCAUUUUUUCCUUUACUUAAAAGAAGUUGGUAUUUUUUGUGUAGGCAGAGAGUCCCUUUUUUUCUUUCUGCAUGCAUUUGUUGGUUAAGGGAGCAGAAGAGGAUCUCUUGAAGUUGGAAAGUGGGAUCAUUCACCAUACCUCAGGGGAUUGCACUGGUAGGCAUAAUGUUCCUCAUCUCUUUCUUUUCUAUUUCCUUUAUCGACAUAGCUUCAGUUAUCAAAAUGAUUUCCAUGAUUUUGUCUCACCAAGCUUGGGUCUGUUUAAUAUAAUGUACCAGUGAAACAUUAAACUGAGGUAUGCCUACUUCAUUUCAAUACAUAUACUAGUAUAACUGAAUGCACCCAAAGGAGCAACCAUCAUUACAGCACCCAGUUGAAGAGCCCAACAUGAAACAGAG